RNAcentral lists this ribosomal RNA (2776 nucleotides) under Salmonella enterica subsp. enterica serovar Schwarzengrund. RNAcentral's name for it is "bacterial LSU rRNA". It matches the Rfam family "Bacterial large subunit ribosomal RNA". Lineage: Bacteria; Pseudomonadati; Pseudomonadota; Gammaproteobacteria; Enterobacterales; Enterobacteriaceae. The record is from RNAcentral.
CACACUAUCAUUAACUGAAUCCAUAGGUUAAUGAGGCGAACCGGGGGAACUGAAACAUCUAAGUACCCCGAGGAAAAGAAAUCAACCGAGAUUCCCCCAGUAGCGGCGAGCGAACGGGGAGGAGCCCAGAGCCUGAAUCAGCAUGUGUGUUAGUGGAAGCGUCUGGAAAGGCGCGCGAUACAGGGUGACAGCCCCGUACACAAAAGCGCAUGUGCUGUGAGCUCGAUGAGUAGGGCGGGACACGUGGUAUCCUGUCUGAAUAUGGGGGGACCAUCCUCCAAGGCUAAAUACUCCUGACUGACCGAUAGUGAACCAGUACCGUGAGGGAAAGGCGAAAAGAACCCCGGCGAGGGGAGUGAAAAAGAACCUGAAACCGUGUACGUACAAGCAGUGGGAGCACCCUUUGGGGUGUGACUGCGUACCUUUUGUAUAAUGGGUCAGCGACUUAUAUUCUGUAGCAAGGUUAACCGAAUAGGGGAGCCGGAGGGAAACCGAGUCUUAAUUGGGCGUUAAGUUGCAGGGUAUAGACCCGAAACCCGGUGAUCUAGCCAUGGGCAGGUUGAAGGUUGGGUAACACUAACUGGAGGACCGAACCGACUAAUGUUGAAAAAUUAGCGGAUGACCUGUGGCUGGGGGUGAAAGGCCAAUCAAACCGGGAGAUAGCUGGUUCUCCCCGAAAGCUAUUUAGGUAGCGCCUCGUGAAUUCAUCUCCGGGGGUAGAGCACUGUUUCGGCUAGGGGGCCAUCCCGGCUUACCAACCCGAUGCAAACUGCGAAUACCGGAGAAUGUUAUCACGGGAGACACACGGCGGGUGCUAACGUCCGUCGUGAAGAGGGAAACAACCCAGACCGCCAGCUAAGGUCCCAAAGUCAUGGUUAAGUGGGAAACGAUGUGGGAAGGCCCAGACAGCCAGGAUGUUGGCUUAGAAGCAGCCAUCAUUUAAAGAAAGCGUAAUAGCUCACUGGUCGAGUCGGCCUGCGCGGAAGAUGUAACGGGGCUAAACCAUGCACCGAAGCUGCGGCAGCGACGCUGAUGCGUUGUUGGGUAGGGGAGCGUUCUGUAAGCCUGUGAAGGUGGCCUGUGAGGGUUGCUGGAGGUAUCAGAAGUGCGAAUGCUGACAUAAGUAACGAUAAAGCGGGUGAAAAGCCCGCUCGCCGGAAGACCAAGGGUUCCUGUCCAACGUUAAUCGGGGCAGGGUGAGUCGACCCCUAAGGCGAGGCCGAAAGGCGUAGUCGAUGGGAAACGGGUUAAUAUUCCCGUACUUGGUGUUACUGCGAAGGGGGGACGGAGAAGGCUAUGUUGGCCGGGCGACGGUUGUCCCGGUUUAAGCGUGUAGGUGUGUGUUCCAGGUAAAUCCGGUUCACUUUAACACUGAGGCGUGAUGACGAGGCACUACGGUGCUGAAGCAACAAAUGCCCUGCUUCCAGGAAAAGCCUCUAAGCAUCAGGUAACAUCAAAUCGUACCCCAAACCGACACAGGUGGUCAGGUAGAGAAUACCAAGGCGCUUGAGAGAACUCGGGUGAAGGAACUAGGCAAAAUGGUGCCGUAACUUCGGGAGAAGGCACGCUGACACGUAGGUGAAGUGAUUUACUCAUGGAGCUGAAGUCAGUCGAAGAUACCAGCUGGCUGCAACUGUUUAUUAAAAACACAGCACUGUGCAAACACGAAAGUGGACGUAUACGGUGUGACGCCUGCCCGGUGCCGGAAGGUUAAUUGAUGGGGUCAGCGCAAGCGAAGCUCCUGAUCGAAGCCCCGGUAAACGGCGGCCGUAACUAUAACGGUCCUAAGGUAGCGAAAUUCCUUGUCGGGUAAGUUCCGACCUGCACGAAUGGCGUAAUGAUGGCCAGGCUGUCUCCACCCGAGACUCAGUGAAAUUGAACUCGCUGUGAAGAUGCAGUGUACCCGCGGCAAGACGGAAAGACCCCGUGAACCUUUACUAUAGCUUGACACUGAACAUUGAGCCUUGAUGUGUAGGAUAGGUGGGAGGCUUUGAAGUGUGGACGCCAGUCUGCAUGGAGCCGGCCUUGAAAUACCACCCUUUAAUGUUUGAUGUUCUAACGUGGACCCGUGAUCCGGGUUGCGGACAGUGUCUGGUGGGUAGUUUGACUGGGGCGGUCUCCUCCUAAAGAGUAACGGAGGAGCACGAAGGUUGGCUAAUCCUGGUCGGACAUCAGGAGGUUAGUGCAAUGGCAUAAGCCAGCUUGACUGCGAGCGUGACGGCGCGAGCAGGUGCGAAAGCAGGUCAUAGUGAUCCGGUGGUUCUGAAUGGAAGGGCCAUCGCUCAACGGAUAAAAGGUACUCCGGGGAUAACAGGCUGAUACCGCCCAAGAGUUCAUAUCGACGGCGGUGUUUGGCACCUCGAUGUCGGCUCAUCACAUCCUGGGGCUGAAGUAGGUCCCAAGGGUAUGGCUGUUCGCCAUUUAAAGUGGUACGCGAGCUGGGUUUAGAACGUCGUGAGACAGUUCGGUCCCUAUCUGCCGUGGGCGCUGGAGAACUGAGGGGGGCUGCUCCUAGUACGAGAGGACCGGAGUGGACGCAUCACUGGUGUUCGGGUUGUCAUGCCAAUGGCACUGCCCGGUAGCUAAAUGCGGAAGAGAUAAGUGCUGAAAGCAUCUAAGCACGAAACUUGCCCCGAGAUGAGUUCUCCCUGAGACUUAGAGUCUCCUGAAGGAACGUUGAAGACGACGACGUUGAUAGGCCGGGUGUGUAAGCGCAGCGAUGCGUUGAGCUAACCGGUACUAAUGAACCGUGAGGCUUAACCUUACAACGCCGAAG